UUUCUUCCGAUUACCUGUGCUUAAUGGCUUGAGAUAUUUGUUUGUGACUGCUUAUUCCAAAGGAUGAGAGCUACUUGGAUCAUCAAUAUGAUCUCAAGAGGGGAACUCCCAAUGUGGUUUUAUUUUCUUUUCCCUUAUCUCUUGUAUGUUUAGGAAUUUAACCCUUUUUUUUUCUCUCCAUUCUAACCCAAGCCAAAACUUUUUGUGCAAACAAUAACUUUUGUUUUCAACAUUAGAAAC
RNAcentral lists this long non-coding RNA (240 nucleotides) under Lathyrus oleraceus (garden pea). RNAcentral describes it as "Pisum sativum (pea) long non-coding RNA (PSAT_LNC016643)". Lineage: Eukaryota; Viridiplantae; Streptophyta; Magnoliopsida; Fabales; Fabaceae. The record is from RNAcentral.